This 430-nucleotide ribosomal RNA is filed under the name Photobacterium sanguinicancri. Its description in RNAcentral is "bacterial SSU rRNA". It matches the Rfam family "Bacterial small subunit ribosomal RNA", at positions 100 to 527 of the family's 1533-position model. Lineage: Bacteria; Pseudomonadati; Pseudomonadota; Gammaproteobacteria; Vibrionales; Vibrionaceae. The record is from RNAcentral.
GACGGGUGAGUAAUGCCUGGGAAUAUGCCUUGAUGUGGGGGAUAACUAUUGGAAACGAUAGCUAAUACCGCAUAAUGCCUACGGGCCAAAGAGGGGGAUCUUCGGACCUCUCGCGUCAAGAUUAGCCCAGGUGGGAUUAGCUAGUUGGUGGGGUAAUGGCUCACCAAGGCGACGAUCCCUAGCUGGUUUGAGAGGAUGAUCAGCCACACUGGAACUGAGACACGGUCCAGACUCCUACGGGAGGCAGCAGUGGGGAAUAUUGCACAAUGGGGGAAACCCUGAUGCAGCCAUGCCGCGUGUAUGAAGAAGGCCUUCGGGUUGUAAAGUACUUUCAGUUGUGAGGAAGGCGGUAGCGUUAAUAGCGUUGCCGUUUGACGUUAGCAACAGAAGAAGCACCGGCUAACUCCGUGCCAGCAGCCGCGGUAAUACG